Molecule: long non-coding RNA, 2523 nt
Organism: Oreochromis niloticus (Nile tilapia)
Lineage: Eukaryota; Metazoa; Chordata; Actinopteri; Cichliformes; Cichlidae
Exons: 5
Source: RefSeq, a predicted model, not a curated record
CACCUAAGACAAGGAGAAAGGAAAGAAUGUAACAAGAAAGAAUUAAUCCCGUGGUAUUUAAUCUAGACAUCACCUCUCUACUUUUCUUGGAGGAGUCCUUUCUCCUUUUGCCAGACAGCGCUUUUCUCUGAAAUGUCCUUUUCCCCUUCACUGCUCUCUCAUAUUUUCAUUUUGGCAGCUCCUGGUACCGUUUCAGUUUCCUUUUAUCUCAUUCAUUCCUACUUCAUUCUUGUCCCCUCUUUACUCACUACAUUGUUGAACAGACCUGAACAGCAUUCAACAACAGGAGCUGAGACAGGCGUAGAAUUCUGUCACAUCAUACUACUCAGGACCGUCGCUGAGCACAUUUUUCACCUGCAGAAACUCAUCUGUGCGGUCACCUCCUAUGAUGGUAAAUCCAAAUCCUUGGGAGCUCUUCUUCAGCGCUGUGUGGUAAAUCUCCCCUUUCAGCUGGCUGGGGUCUGCGGUGAAGCCAGAUGCACCACCUUUACCUGUGCAGAACAUGCUUCUGCCGUUAUGACACCGUGGAAAAUUGUUAUAAACCCAGUGGAAGUAAAGAGGGGGGCGCAUUGUGCAUUGUUACCUUGAGAAGGUGCUGCUGCGGCUUGCUGGAUCGCUGCAGUCUCCUGGCUCAGCUUCUUCUUUGCCUCCAGGACAGGGUUCUCAAACUGGGUUUUCUGAUUGAUGUGGCUGUAACAUAAAGAGGUUCAGGUUUGUGAGAAGAGACUUGGAAUCCAAACACGCACACCCAUAGACAUGCUAAUCUCUCACUUAUUGAGCUUACUGCAUCAUUUUUCUGCAGUUAAUUAUGUAUGCACCAUCCUUUUAGAGGAAGUAUAAUUUUCUGAUAGAGGGAUGCUAUAGUGGUGCCAGUAAACAAAUUCACAAGCACAGCACACAUACAGUAAAUUCUGACUUGCCUCCUCUUUAUGUGGGGGAAGUACCAUGGCUUUUAGCCAUUUAAUAUUAUAGGAAAUGAACCCCUGACUGCCAGAAACAUCCUGUUCCCCUACAACAAGGUAAACAGCCUGUUGUCCCCUGGCAUACAAACAAGAGCCAUUGCUUCAUAGUGAGCUCAUUUCAAGCUAAACACUAGCAGGUACAAGCUCCAUCUAUAUGCCAUUGACUCUCCCUGUCCAAACAGUGCAGGUUUCUCUCUCAUGUCACUUCUAGGAGCGUUUAUAUGCUUUCUGAGCAAUAAAACAAUGCGAGAAUUCCCAUUUUCUUUUCAACACGACAGAUUGCUACCUCGUCUUCCAACCCCCACUCCGCUUCUUCCAUGCAUUCUAGUUCAAAAUCUCCCCAUUUCUCUCUACUGCUGUUACAAUGGCUGUGUUUCACAGAUUUCCUGCUGGGGUGUUGAUGACAAAUACACAUUUAGCACACAGACAAAUAUACAAACAAUGUGCAAUGACAAAUACACAGACUCUAUAAGCACACACAAACACUGACAGAAUGCGAUGAGAGAAAAAUCUGUUUUGUGUUCAUAUACAGGUCACUGCAAUGUUACCCGCAGAGUUUCAUUUUGCCACCCACCGAUAAACAAUGUGAAAAUCCUGAUCAAAAUCUUCAAGUGUUCUCCAGGUAAGCCAUUGACCAGUGGUGGCCGCUCAUCAUCGUCCUCCUCCUCAGGUACAGCGCUGUCCUUCCUGUCCAUCUUACUGACUGAGGUUGUGCGUUUCCUGGGGACCUCGCCACCAAAGUCCUCAUCAAACAACACCUGAUCCACCAGGUCAGGCUGCACCAGUAUGUCUUUUGCUCUGCCUCCCUCCCCACCAGCAGAUGGCUACCCCUCCCUGAGCCUGGUUCUGCUGGAGGUUUCUUCCUUCUAAAAGGGAGUUUUUCCUUCCCACUGUUGCAGAGCGCUUGCUUAUAGUGGAUCGUCUUGUUUGAUUGCUGGGGUUUUCUCUGUAUUAUUGCAUUGUUUUUACCAUGCAAUAUAAAGUGCAUUGAAGGGUUUUGUUGUGCAUACAGAUGGUGCAAAAUGCAGCUGCUCGCAUUUUAACAAGAACUGGGAAAUUUGAGCACAUUACCCCUGUAGUGAGAUCUCUUCAUUGGCUACCUUUUCAGGUUCAAGCUCAUUUUAAGGUCCCGCUGCUCACCUAUAAGGCUUUAAAUGGAUUGGCACCUUCAUACCUCUCCGACCUUUUACACUUUUAUGUUCAAUCCUGUGCUCUAUCUCAGGACUCUGCCCUUCUAAAGGUUCCUAGAGCCAGAAAAAAGACAAUUGGAGAGCGUGCUUUUUCUUUUCGUGCCCCAUUUUUGUGGAACAACCUCCCUCAAGAUAUUAGGCAGGCAUGCUCUGUGGAGGCUUUUAAAACUAAGUUGAAGACACAUUUGUUCACCCUAUCCUACAUGUCUUAAUUCUAUGCCUUCUAGUUUUUAAAUUCUUACUGUUUUUAACUAUUGUGUUUUUACUUGUAUUGCUAUGUAUCGCUUUUAUUUAUUUAUCUUUUUAGUUUCAAAUAGCUGUACAGCACUGUGUUUGAAAGCGCUUUAUAAAUAAAGUUAUUAUUAUUAUCA